AUGGCGUCCUCCGGGAGCGCUUCUUGGGUUAUACUUGCGCUGCUCCUCUUCAUCACUCUGGCUGCCACCGCCAAUGGCGACGAGCUCUCCGCGAGUUACUAUGAGAAGACGUGCCCCAACGUGCAGCACGUCGUGCGGUCAGUGAUGGCGAGCAGCGUCGCCGCCCAGCCAAGGAUGGCGCCCGCCGUCCUCCGCCUCUUCUUCCACGACUGCUUCAUCAACAAAAGAUAG
This 231-nucleotide ribosomal RNA is filed under the name Triticum aestivum (bread wheat). RNAcentral describes it as "partial small subunit ribosomal RNA". Lineage: Eukaryota; Viridiplantae; Streptophyta; Magnoliopsida; Poales; Poaceae. The record is from RNAcentral.